CGUACACUCCUACGGGAGGCAGCAGUGAGGAAUAUUGGACAAUGGGUGGAAGCCUGAUCCAGCCAUCCCGCGUGCAGGAAGACGGCCCUAUGGGUUGUAAACUGCUUUUAUCUGGGGAUAAACCUACUUACGUGUAAGUAGCUGAAGGUACCAGAAGAAUAAGCACCGGCUAACUCCGUGCCAGCAGCCGCGGUAAUACGGAGGGUGCAAGCGUUAUCCGGAUUUAUUGGGUUUAAAGGGUCCGUAGGCGGACUGAUAAGUCAGUGGUGAAAUCCGACAGCUUAACUGUCGAACUGCCAUUGAUACUGUUAGUCUUGAGUAAGGUUGAAGUGGCUGGAAUAAGUAGUGUAGCGGUGAAAUGCAUAGAUAUUACUUAGAACACCAAUUGCGAAGGCAGGUCACUAAGUCUUAACUGACGCUGAUGGACGAAAGCGUGGGGAGCGAACAGGAUUAGAAACCCCGGUAGUCC
This 469-nucleotide ribosomal RNA is filed under the name uncultured organism. RNAcentral describes it as "partial 16S ribosomal RNA". It matches the Rfam family "Bacterial small subunit ribosomal RNA", at positions 330 to 796 of the family's 1533-position model. The record is from RNAcentral.